Lacerta agilis (Sand lizard) is the source of this 132-nucleotide long non-coding RNA. RefSeq lists it as uncharacterized. Lineage: Eukaryota; Metazoa; Chordata; Lepidosauria; Squamata; Lacertidae. The transcript is spliced from 3 exons. The record is from RefSeq and is a predicted model, not a curated record.
GAUGCUGGCACUAACUUUGAACCAUAACAAAUGGAUAUGUGAAAAGGGAGAAAAAAACCACAAGAGAGAUGCAGAAACACAAUACUGGAAGCAUGAAUUACUGGCACAAUUAUUUUUUGCUACUUCUCUGAA